RNAcentral lists this ribosomal RNA (1130 nucleotides) under Apokeronopsis crassa. Its description in RNAcentral is "partial large subunit ribosomal RNA". It matches the Rfam family "Eukaryotic large subunit ribosomal RNA", at positions 49 to 1238 of the family's 3401-position model. Lineage: Eukaryota; Ciliophora; Spirotrichea; Urostylida; Pseudokeronopsidae. The record is from RNAcentral.
AGCGGAGGAAAAGAAAAUAACAAUGAUUGCCCCAGUAACGGCGAGUGAAGCGGCAAAAGCCCAUUUUGGUAAUCCUUCGGGAGUUGUUGGGUGAAGUCGGAGUGCCCUGUUUGCCUGGUGCCGAAGUGUCCUGGAAUGGAACGCCGUGGAGGGUGACAGUCCCGUAGGCGCUGGGUGUUGCGUUGGGUGCCCGCUUUAGAGUCGGGUUGUUUUGUAUUGCAGCCCUAAUCGGGAGAUAGACUUCUUCUAAGGCUAAAUAUGUGUGGGAAACCGAUAGCGAACAAGUACUGUGAAGGAAAGAUGAAAAGAACUUUGAAAAGAGAGUCAAAAGACUUGAAAUUGUUGAGAAGGAAGCGGUAGAAAUUUAUUCUUCGGCUUGGGGUGCAGGUUUCCGCUCUGGCGGUUGCUGAAGCCCAGGUUGAGAGGCAAGAUGGGGCGUUCUUCCCUGAUGAGCUGUUUAGGUUUGGGCUGGUUCGCUAGUCAGCCUUUUCGUGCUCGGGGGAGGGCCGUCUGAGGGUGCUUUUGCGAUUUUGCUUAAAUGGUUUUUACCGACCCGUCUCGAAACACGGACCAAGGAGUCUACCUCAUGUGCAAGUGUGCUGGUGGUAAACCGACACGCGUAAUGAAAGUGAUUGAUGCCAACUUUGCAGCAUCGACCAACCAUGAUCCUCCGGUGAAAGGUUUGAGUAGGAGCACAUGUGUUAGGACCCGAAAGAUGGUGAACUAUGCCUGAGUAGGGUGAAGCCAGGGGAAACUCUGGUGGAAGCUCGCAGCGAUUCUGACGUGCAAAUCGAUCGUCAAACUUGGGUAUAGGGGCGAAAGACUAAUCGAACCAUCUAGUAGCUGGUUCCCUCCGAAGUUUCCCUUAGGAUAGCUGGGACAAUUACGCAGUUUUAUCAGGUAAAGCGAAUGAUUAGAGGUAUCUGGGGUAAUUUGCCCUGGACCUAUUCUCAAACUUUAAAUUGGUAAGUACUUCGGCCUGUCUUAAUUGAGGUUGGAGGUUCAAUGCAUGUCCCUAGUGGGCCAUUUUUGGUAAGCAGAACUGGCGAUGAGGGUUGCUCCUAACGUCGGGUUAAGGUGCCUAACUGCACGCUCAUCGGAUCCUACAAAGGGUGUUGGUUCAUUAAGAC